RNAcentral lists this ribosomal RNA (193 nucleotides) under uncultured bacterium. Its description in RNAcentral is "partial 16S ribosomal RNA". It matches the Rfam family "Bacterial small subunit ribosomal RNA", at positions 335 to 526 of the family's 1533-position model. The record is from RNAcentral.
ACUCCUACUGGAGGCAGCAGUAGGGAAUAUUGGGCAAUGGGCGCAAGUCUGACCCAGCGACGCCGCGUGCAGGAUGAAGGCCUUUUGGUUGUAAACUGCUUUUCUGAGGGAAGAAAAGUAUCUAUUUAUGGGUAUCUGACGGUACCUCAGGAAUAAGCACCGGCUAACUCCGUGCCAGCAGCCGCGGUAAUAC